GCUUUCAUGAUGUAACGGUUAGCAUGCAAGACUUUUAAUCUUGUCGCCUGGGUUCGAUUCCCAGUGAGAGCA
RNAcentral lists this transfer RNA (72 nucleotides) under Yasminevirus sp. GU-2018. It matches the Rfam family "tRNA". From Rfam's summary of the family: Transfer RNA (tRNA) molecules are approximately 80 nucleotides in length. The record is from Rfam by way of RNAcentral. Lineage: Varidnaviria; Bamfordvirae; Nucleocytoviricota; Megaviricetes; Imitervirales; Mimiviridae.